GGGGGGGGGGGGAGAAGAGGAGAGGAUGCUAUUGCCUUGUGGCGUACAAAUGCACUUGCUCUCUCUCUCAUGAUUUGUACAUGAGUUAAUGGCAUGGAAUAGCUGUAACUUUAUGGCCAUGGAUCAGACAAUCACAAUGGAAUUCUUCAAUAGAUGUUUACAAAGCAAAUCAAACUAAAUGUGCUCAUAUUGUUGGUGAUAGAAUUAAUGCGGUUUGACUUUCUUAUCAUCAGGGAACAUAGACUCCUACCAAGUGAUUGAGACUAUUAGUUAAGUGAUUGGGAAUUUCUGGUAGUACUGAUUGUAGGUUUUUAGAGUGU
This 320-nucleotide unclassified non-coding RNA is filed under the name Hevea brasiliensis (rubber tree). Lineage: Eukaryota; Viridiplantae; Streptophyta; Magnoliopsida; Malpighiales; Euphorbiaceae. The record is from RNAcentral.